CCCUUAGAUGUUCUGGGCGGCCCGCGCACUACAUCGGCACUAGCAAAGAGAUCCUAGAUUGAAUUCUUUGGGGUAUUCUUCUAAAUGGUGUCGUGACUGGGAUAAAUCCUUGUAAUUAUUGGUUUUGAACGAGGAAUUCCUUGUAAUCGCGGUUUAUCAGCUCGCGUUGAAUGCGUCCCUGCCCUUUGUACACACCGCCCGUCGCUCCUACCGAUGGAUCGUCCGGUGAAGCUCACGGAGUGACUGUUCACGCAACGGUUUACGAAGUGAAAUGGACCUCACGAUUUAGAGGAAGGAGAAGUCGUAACA
This 309-nucleotide ribosomal RNA is filed under the name uncultured eukaryote. Its description in RNAcentral is "partial 18S ribosomal RNA". It matches the Rfam family "Eukaryotic small subunit ribosomal RNA", at positions 1470 to 1796 of the family's 1831-position model. The record is from RNAcentral.